CAUCAUUAGAGAGGUCUUGCAUAAAACUGUCACCAAAGAACAGACCAUCGGCUUCUGGUCCCAAUUCUUUGGAUCCCAAAUCAACUAGUUUGGCAUCGAUUUUGUAAAGUGCCGCCUUUCGUCUUUUAGUAGAGAUUGCCACAUUGGCAUUGACUAGUAGGCAUAAAGCUCUCUGAGAAUGGUAGUGGAUUCAGCGCAUAGUGUCUCAACGGAAU
Non-coding RNA from Pelobates cultripes (western spadefoot toad), 215 nucleotides. The record is from the annotation of a GenBank genome assembly. NCBI's taxonomy places the organism in Eukaryota, Metazoa, Chordata, Amphibia, Anura, Pelobatidae.